ACACCACAGCUCACGGCAAUGCCGGAUCAUUAACCCACUGAGCAAGGGCAGGGACCAAACCCGCAACCUCAUGGUUCCUAGUCGGAUUCGUUAACCACUGCGCCACGACAGGAACUCCUAGAUGUACUUUCUAAAGAGCUGGAAUUUAACAGCCUGGCAAUAACUCCAGGUGAUAGGGCAAGCUUGCUGAUGGGGUGGCUUUUAGAGAAAUGUGAAAAAUAAUGGCCAACUCUCAGCAAAUAGAAGUGCCAAUAUUGUUCUGGCAGAUAGCAGAAGAAGGGAUAAUGAGGCUGAGGAAAGUGAGUACACUGAAUGAGCAAGUUACAUAAGGACAGCAUAGUCAAAAAGACAUACCUUUCACCAAGACUACCAGGAACGUGCUGGUAAGAACGGCACUGGAAUAAGCCAAAAGCUCAGUGACGGUUCUUCACAGGUCAGUGAUGGUGAGAGGAAUGUUUACAGAGCUAAGCUUUUUAACAAGUGUAACAACGCCCUCCAAGUAACAGAAGCCAGGUGAUGGCAUUUAAUUGCCAGAGUUAGGUGGCUUCAAUUAUCAUAAUGAUAGGCUAAGUUGGAGAGACAGUCAAGGACUUUAACCUGCUGAGUUGUGGAAAUGGUUAAUAGAGCAUGGCAUCCUUAUAGGCAGAAGUGAUGGGCAGCCAACAAUAUUUCUACUUGACAUCCAAAAUAAAACAACAAAAAAUGUACAAGAACACAAAAGUGAAAGAGCAAGAAAGGGUGCUAGAGCAGGUCCAGGCUGUGAGGCCAUCAGCCCCACCAUGUGGGUCAUACAAUAUUUCUUAGUGUUGGAGGAUCCAGCAGAUCCUAUAGUGUCGGAAAAGGUGCAAUGUGGAAUUUAUGGCAAGCUCCAGUGGAUAAUCACAACACAGGCCUCUGGAAGUCUGGAGUGAGGCAGAGAGUCAUUCAUUCUUUGAAAAAUAUCAUCCUAACACAUACUACAUGAUUCAGAGGCAGCCAGCCUCAUAGAAUGGUAGACUAUACCUCUAUGUGCAACUGAAGUAACAGUGCUGAGGAAACACUCUCAAAGGCUGAGGUAUGUUUGUCAAAUCAGAGACCCCUAUAUGGUGCUUGGUCCCAAGUAGGAAAGAUACUUGGGUAAAACCACGGAGGGGCCAUUAACUCACUGAAGGAUUUUGUGCUUCCUAUCCUCACACUUUUGAAUUCUGCCAGGGAAUAUACCACAGGUCCCAUCAAGCUAUAAGUGAGGACUACCAUCUGGAAACUUGUGAAACCUGGUGCCUAUGGAUCAACAGGAGAAAACAGGAGCCUGGUUAUUGGCAGGAGUAAUAGAUUCCGAUCAUCAAAAUGAUGUACGGCUGCUUGCGCAUGGGGAGAGAGGGAAGAAUGAAUGAGGAGGUAUUUGGGUCCUAAUAUUUCCUUGCCUUACUGUAAAAAUGAACAGUCAUGUGAAGGAACCUGGACUGUAAAAAUUCUAAUAAUCGCGGGUUGAGAUAUUUCAGGAAUUAAUGUUGACUUCAUACAACCAGCCAAGCCACCAAGACCUUCUGAGGGAAUCAGUGAGAAUGACAGGAAUUUAGAAUGAAGAGUGGAGAAGGGAAAGGAGCACUGGUGACAAGCCAGGGAUCAACUCCAGUGGUGGGAGCUUUAGUUCAUUCCACAGACCUCCUUAGAUUUUGCUCAGGAAAACAUGGAAGAGCUGCUUCUGGACCUACGGAGAGAAACAUACCUGAAUGGUUCAAGGGUCUCAGAGUGGUGGUCAGGAGAAUGAGCUUUGGAGACCCACCACUUCAGGGAGUGUAAUUGACCAAGGAUCCCAGCUCUGGUGCUCUGAAAGCCAGAACUAACUGCAUUUAUGCUGAGACCAUGGACUGCUCCCAGCUAAUACUGAGAGUGGUAGGAAUACUAAAGAGACACAGGAUACCACUGAUGGGCAAUUUUAGUGUGAAAGCACUCUCCGACAGUUUUGCCAAACUUCCUUUAGACUUUGGGGCUGUCUAGAACACCAGCGGCUAACCUCUCUUCCUUCCCUUUACUCAGGAUCAGAUUUGCACGUGGUUUUAUUACUGUCCCAGCUUUAUCCAGCUUCCUUGCUGUUUUACUUCAAGCAGCUAUUCCUCCUAAUAAAAUCCUUGAACAUUUAAUCUCAUUUUGUUAUAUGCUUUCUAAGGGCCUCUAUGAUGUCCUUCUAUGUUGCUGAAGUUGAGUUUUGUAAAUAAGCCUUAGGUCUUUAACAUCAUAAGGAAAGUAUAGCAAACUAGUGAAAAGACUGUCUUAAAGACAUGGCAAAUAAGUGAGGGUAGGAGAGUGUGACCAUAUGAUAGCACAUUAAAAAAAAAUGUAGGUGGUGAUAUUUAUUCCACUGCAAUUGUACAAACUGUGGCUGAAUGGCAUCACCAGAGGGAUACAGAAUCCAAGCAUUCUUAUCUAUCUAUAAAAGGCGACCUAAGAAGACAAGCUGGAGGAAGGUGUCUAAGACAGACUGCUGUAUGGCACAACCAAAAGGUAGUCAAAAUUGUUUUCCAAUACUUCAUCUCUUCAGAAAUUAAGGAGGAUUGAAUCCACAUUCCAUAUCAACACCAGGUAAAAUAUCCCACUCCACCAGUUCCUUGCCAUUUAUACUUCAGUCUCCCUUCUCAUAACCCUCUUUCCAACUGCUCCACAACCAUCUUACACAGGUUUCCUGCCACCUGCUAUGACCAGGUUCCCCACUUUGUUCUUUGCCCUCUUCACCCAUUUUCAUUACUUUCAUUACAACAGAUUCUUGACCAAGGUUGAAAAUGUUUCCCCAAAAUUCAUUUUAUUUUUAUGAAAGAUAUUACUAAUAUCAUUACAAAGGACUUCUAUAUGGUUAAAAAAGACAGUGACUUGUUUGAUAAUCUAAGAGUUCAUCCUAGAAGUCUUCAAGUGAAGGUAAUCUCCCCAAUGCCUUAGAAUUUUCAUUUCCAAUGAAUCUAAGUCUUCCCUACAUAAAACAUUUAGGAGGUUUUCUUUUUAAAAGAGGGAAAAUGAUUAGCCAUAGAUGUUUCUAUAUCAGUGUAGAGAACUGACAGUUUUUGAAAGUCCUUUAACCAAGUGAUUGUUUUAUUUACAUUUCCUUAUUUUCUUCUUCAGCAAAGAGCUAAUGGUAAGCUUCAGUCUGUCAAAAGUGUCAAAUUCUGAAUCAUCAGUGUCAGAAAUAAUGGUAUUUUUUUCACUUAUAAAGUUGUUUUCUUUUGGUUUGUUAUGUUUCCAAAAAUGAGAGUUUUCCAGGAUUCAGAAUUCAAAAAGUUUAGCGUAAUUGUUUUGAAUUAAAUCACCACUAUCAAAGGUUUCCAAUGUUAAUAUUUUCCUGUCAAUCAAGAAAGGUAUAGUUUUGGGGAAUCAUUCAUUUUAGGUCUUCAUCAAUAUAAGCAGAAAAUGUGGAAAAAAAAGAAAUGUUCUUUUUCUUUCUCCAAGCAUAACUUUUUAUUCAUGGUUUCCUCACAUCUGCACUUAUCGCUUUAAAGUUCCACUUAAGGUAUAAUAGAGAGGUCUCCAUGCAAUAAGCUAAGAAUUCUGAAACUCAGUCAUAAUUCAUUUCCUUUAUCAGAUAUCUCUUUUAAAGGUAAGCUCUAAGUCAAAAAUAAAUUUCAUAAUACUUUUAUAUUUACUGAAGCUGUUGUGAUGACAGAAAUUACUUCUAAAUACUUUGAAUUACUUUUAUCUACUAUAAAAAUGUUACAUGCCUUUUUCUUUCUUAACCAAACUUAUCAGCCAUUGUCAAUGCAGCAAAAGUUAGAGCUGAAUGCUGUAUUUUUAAUAGAAAUUUCACAAGUGGCACAAAGAUAUUUUUUAAACUUAUCAAAAUUAUUACAGUUUAUGGAAAUACAGUUUCUCAGAUCAACAGUAAGCAGUGUAUAUAGGUAAUAUUUAUAUAUGUAAUAUAUAUAUAUAAAUUACAUAUUAUAUACUUAAGAACUGUCAGACUACAGCAUCCAUUACAACAUAUGGACGUAUGAUGAAUUUGUCAGUUGAUAAAAGAGGUCAGUCACUUGUAUUUCUUCCUUCUAUUCUUUUUUCUAGAGUCACGUAAAUAACUUAAGGUAGAGAUCUAGCAUAACAUUAAUUUCCUUUGCAUUACCUUCUUGAUUUCCCAUGAAAUUAAGGCUUGUGUUCCUUCUAGAACAUCCCUAAAAUUCUUUGACUUUUCAUGUACUAUUUUGAUUGUUUCUGAAGGAAUUAUUGGGGCCCAUAAUAUGUAUCCAUGCUGCACAUCUAAAGAUACAUUGUAUAUACUGUGUUGAUAUGUAUUAUUGAUAUUAAGUGUUUAUAUAGUAUUGUGUUGAUUCAAACACUUUAUAAGAAAAGCUGAAACAUGUAGGUUGUAAAACUAUCAUAACUAUUUUUAUCUUUUGCUUGUAUGUAUAUUCUAUGAGCUCAAUUUUUUUUUAAAGCAACAUACUUUAUUCAAAGAAUGAUUAAUUCAAUGUUAAAAUUGCUUCUGUCUUCUUAAAGAAGGCAUUAUUAUGCUUUUAUGCAGGAGAGCAAAGAUCCUUAUAUAACAGUUUCUCUUCCUCUUCAAUGCCCCUCCCACCCAAUAAAUGCACACAAAUCUUUUGAUUUGAAGUGGAAGUUUAAACAAAUUCAUUUAUCUCCUCUAUUUCCUGAGAUAUAUUAAAGUGAAAGAAGGAAAAAAAUGAUAUAAAUUCAUAAAUGAACAGGUGAAGGGCCUCAGUAAUUAAGGAAUUAUAACACAUUUUUGGAAGAUACAGAGCAGACAGGGAAAAAAAAAAAAACAAAGGAAGAUAUUACCUGGGGAAAGUGAAAAGGCAGUAGAACCAUAAAGGGAGAUUGUCUUCUCUUUAUAAUCUCAGAACACUGGGAACAUUUAUAAUCUCAGAACAUUUCUGAACAUAAGAAACAUCAGCUAAGAGGGGAUAUAGAUAGGAGACUGGGUGCUAAAAAUGCAUUAAUUAAAAUUCUAUAUAAGGAAGACUCACUGGAUGACCUAAACAUAAAUCAUUCCCCUAAUUUGGGUGUGGAAUGCCAGGCAGAUAAAAGUCCAGCUGUCAAUAAAUAAGUCAACAAAUUAAGUUAAAUCUGCAGUAUCCUCUCUAUAGAAAUUGAAAAUAUUGAGUGUCUUAGUUUAGACUGCUAUAACAAUGUACCAUAGAUAGUUGGUUUAUCAAUGAUGAAAACUUAUUUCUCACAGUCCUCAGACUGGAAGUCUGUAAUCAGAAUGCCAGCAUGACCAGGUUCUGGUGAGAGUCCUCUUCCAGGUUAUGGGCUCACUUCUCCUUAUAACCUCACAGGAGAUAAGAGCAAGCUUAAGAAAGAGAGCUAGAGAGCUCUCUGGCGUCCCUUUCAUAAGGACAUUAAUCCUAUUUAUGAGAGAUUCACCUUUAUGACCUAAUUACCUCCCAAAGAUCUUAUCUCCUAAUACCAUCACAUUUGGGGUCAGGAUUUCAACAUAUGAAUUUGGGGGAUGGGGUGGGCAGGGACAGAAAUAUUCAGUCCAUUGCAUUGAGAUCAAGUCAUUUUGGUGACUUCGGAGAAUUGGUUAAUUCUCUGCAUCUACAUCAUAAAGCAAAAAUAAAGCUAAAGGAUUGGCUAUUCUUACUGUCUCCAUGUCCUAACUUGUCAUUCUCUCUUGAACCUAUUCCAUGAAACAGCUUUUGACAAGGUCACCAAAGACCACUAUAUUUUAAAAUUUGAUGGUCAGAGUUAUUUCUUUUUUUUUGGCGGGGCGGGGAUGGGGACUGGUGUCUUUCUUGUGAGCCCUGAUAGGUACUCUCUACUUCCUUGGAUUUCAAGACACCAUACUAUGCUGUUUAAUCUGUUCCCUUGAUUUCAAGACACCAUACCAUGCCGGUUAAUCUGCUCCCUUACUAGCUUGUCCUUCUCGGUGUCCUGGAUGGAUUCUACUCUUACCAACUCCUAAGCAUUGCUAUGCCUUUAAGCUCAGCACUGAGACAUCUUCUAUCUGUACUCUCUCCAUAGGUGACCUCCUGUGGCCACAUUCAACAAACAGCCAUGAUUUAAACAAAAUAUUUUUUUUAUUACUGAAAUGAAUUUAUCACAUCUGUAGUUGUAUAAUGAUCAUAACAAUCUGAUUUCACAGGAUUUCCAUCCCACAGCCCAAGCACAUCCCCCCACCCCCCAAACUGUCUCCUCUGGAGACCAUAAGUUUUUCAAUGUCUGUGAGUCAGCAUCUGUUCUACAAAGAAGUUCAGUCUGUCCUUUUUUCAGAUUCUACAUGUCAGUGAAAGCAUUUGAUGUCGGUGUCUCAUUGGAUGGCUGACUUCACUUAGCAUGAUAAUUUCUGGGUCCAUCCAUGUUGCUAAAAAUUCUGGUAUUUUGUUCCUUUUAAUGGCUGAGUAAUAUUCCAUUGUUUAUAUGUACCACUUCUUCCUGAGCCACUCCCCUGUCGAUGGACAUUUAGGUUGUUUCCAUGUCUUGGCUAUUGCAAAUAGUGCUGAAAAUGAACUGUAGGUACAUGUGUCCUUGCGAGUCGUGGUUUUCUCUGGAUAGAUGCCCAGGAGUGGGAUUGCUGGUUCAAAUGGGAGUUCUAUUUUUAGUUUUCUGGGGCAUCUCCAUACUGUUUUCUACAGGGGUUGCACCAAUUCACAAUCCCACCAACAGUGUACUAGGGUUCCUUUUUCUCCACACCCUCUCCAGCACUUAUUGUUUGUAGACUUUUGGAUGAU
This 6647-nucleotide long non-coding RNA is filed under the name Sus scrofa (pig). Its description in RNAcentral is "lncRNA (ENSSSCG00015072707.1)". Lineage: Eukaryota; Metazoa; Chordata; Mammalia; Artiodactyla; Suidae. The record is from RNAcentral.